AACUGUCUCAAGACCCUAAAUUUAAAAUAGAAUGUGUGUGUAAAUCCACACUAAAACGGCAAGACGAUUAGACCCUAAGAACUUUACCCAAAGCUUUAAACAUAAAAAAGCUCUAAGUUUCGUUGGGGCAACGAUCUUUAAAAAAGUAACUAAGAAUAACGAAUCACACAACAUAAAAGAAAAUAAUAAUUUUAAAAAGAUAAUACCCAUUAACAAAAAAAUUAAUGAAAAAAAAUAAAAGUUCCUUAGGGAUAACAGCGUCAUAUCGUUCUUUAGAAAAUACCCAAACGAUGUUUGCGACCUCGAUGUUGAAUUGCUAUACCCCAAGAUGUAACCACACUUAAAGGUUGGACUGUCCUUCCAUUAAAAUAGCACGUGAUCUGGUUUCCAAACCGG
Molecule: ribosomal RNA, 396 nt
Filed under: Bolosominae sp. CCZ_198
Lineage: Eukaryota; Metazoa; Porifera; Hexactinellida; Lyssacinosida; Euplectellidae
Description: partial large subunit ribosomal RNA
Rfam family: Bacterial large subunit ribosomal RNA
Source: RNAcentral